CAGUUUCUGAAAUAUGUUCUGUUUUUUCUCCCUCUGCUUGCUUCUUACUGUCUUUGAGGCCGAUCGGGACCAGCACUCCUGCUGUUGGACAGAAAGACAUCAACUCAGUGACUUGAGAUAUGACUGCACUAUGCUGUUGCUGUGACUCCAGUUAAUUCUACAAGACAUGCUGUGACAACAGGAGAGAUGAGUCCUCCGUCACAGAUGGUGUGGCCAGUGAAGAUGGUCGCCUGCAGGUUCAAGCUCAUUGCAUCUCCAACCCACAUCCACUGCCACUGUACUUAAGGGAAGUUAAAGACUUUCUUCUGCACCUACAUUUGGAUCACCUCGAUCCAUGACAGUCAUUCAGGCAGUAAUGCCUGGACUGGAAACAAGCAUCCUUAAAAUAUUACAACAUUCCAGCUCCUGUGUUGGAAUGAAAAACGAAUGUGUUGUUUAAAUUAGAGACUGCACUUGUGACAGAACAACAAAUAUUUUAUUUUGAUUAUAUAAGUAAUGUAAGUACAAAACAAACUUG
Molecule: long non-coding RNA, 517 nt
Organism: Pelmatolapia mariae (spotted tilapia)
Lineage: Eukaryota; Metazoa; Chordata; Actinopteri; Cichliformes; Cichlidae
Exons: 3
Source: RefSeq, a predicted model, not a curated record